AACGAACGCUGGCGGCAUGCCUAACACAUGCAAGUCGAACGAGACCUUCGGGUCUAGUGGAGAACGGGUGCGUAACGCGUGGGAACAUGCCCUUAGGUUCGGAAUAACUCUCCGAAAGGGGUGCUAAUAUCGGAUAAUGUCUUCGGACCAAAGAUUUAUCGCCUUUGGAUGGGCCCGCGUUGGAUUAGCUAGUUGGUAGGGUAAAAGCCUACCAAGGCGACGAUCCAUAGCUGGUCUGAGAGGAGGAUCAGCCACACUGGAACUGAGACACGGCCCAGACUCCUGCGGGAGGCAGCAGUGGGGAAUAUUGGACAACGGGCGAAAGCCUGAUCCAGCGAUGCCGCGUUAGUGAUGAAGGCCUUAUGGUUGUAAAGCUCUUUGACCCGGGAUGAUAAUGACAGUACCUGGAGAAUAAGCACCGGCUAACUCCGUG
RNAcentral lists this ribosomal RNA (433 nucleotides) under uncultured bacterium. Its description in RNAcentral is "partial 16S ribosomal RNA". It matches the Rfam family "Bacterial small subunit ribosomal RNA", at positions 29 to 507 of the family's 1533-position model. The record is from RNAcentral.